Molecule: long non-coding RNA, 6117 nt
Organism: Lagopus muta (rock ptarmigan)
Lineage: Eukaryota; Metazoa; Chordata; Aves; Galliformes; Phasianidae
Exons: 3
Source: RefSeq, a predicted model, not a curated record
CCGUAAGCUGCAUCAUGUACGGUAAACACUUUUCUGCAGGGAGAUUCAGUGUCUUAAUCUAAGUUUUGAACAAGAUGAAGGAUCCAGAUACAGUUCUUUAAUUUGAGAGCCCAGAACACAGACAGCUUUGCUCUGUAAAAGCUACCUCAGGAAAUAGGAAUGCGGUAUGAUUUACAGUUAUAUGGGUCACCAGGACAUUACCAUCCACAGAACUGAUAUCACACCCAGAUAUAGCUUUCCUUCCCCUUCACUACCUACAGUUAAGAAGGUUAUUCCUUUCUAGAAAGCCAGCCCAAAGGUGGGUGCCAUCACUCAGGCUAGGACAAGGGAAUUUGCUUUGCUAAGAUUGAAAACUCUCUGAUAACAUGAUCAAGCAAGACAGAAAUCCUGAGAGUUUCCUUCCAGAAUCCAUAUCUAUUUCCUCGUCUUCUACCGUAAGCAAAAUAGUUUCAUGAGCAUGUGAUAACUGAACAUGAGUUAUCACAUGAACACUUACAAAUUUAAAUAAAAAAACCCUUGAUGUGGAGAGUGCUCUGAACUCCACUGCUGAACAAUCAACCUUUAUUUGCCUAACCAGCAAUACCUUGGGCAGAAGUUAUUUGCUUUAGCUUCACCUGAAAAAAAACCUGAUCUCCUACUGAAGUAGUGCCUUUUUAUAAGAUGCAAGUUACAUGUGUGUUUCAUUCACACCCACAACAUGAACAUCAAACCAAGCAUCCCACACUACCAAUUCCUCCAAAUGAUUCUCCUUUUCCCCCAUUUCUACAUUCUUUGCUUUUGCACUUACUUAAGCACACUGGAUUUCAGCAUUUACUGGUUUUCCCAUGUACUCCAGAGUACUUCAAGUGACUAAAUUGAAACCACAAGAGGUAAAACUACUAGCAUGACUGUUGCUGAGGAGGAAAAACCAGCAACCCAGGUCUGGUUCACUCAAACUCUCUGAUGAUUCGUAUUUAAAACGUUGAGGGCUACAGUCAUCAUCUGCUCUGAUGUAUGCUGCUGCAAGUCAACUGAGGUUAUGAAAUGGGAUCUGGCACCACGGAGAGAACUGUCCCUUCACAGGAUACGAGUAAUAGUCACUUGAGUAAAUGCAAGUUAUUCAUAUCCUGCUAGUGGAAUAAUCUCUCUUUGUACAUUCAUACACAUUUUUAGUUGCCUCCAGGAAUCCGAAGGCGAAUCUCAUUUGUUACCUAAUGAAAUUAAUUCCACCAGAUCUAACACAAGCAUACUGGAAAACCACUAUUACUCAUACAUGAGGUGUAACCAAUGCAGCAUUUCUCAAAUUCUGUUUGAUUAGGGUCCAUCUCUGAACCCUCACCAUUUACCACACAAACCUCAACCACUCCGGUUGGCUACGGUACAUUCCCAGCUGAUCUGCUCCAAGUCUUAAAGAGCAAUUUGAACAUUUGACCUCCCCUUGCUUUAUCCACAACAAUCUUACUAUUCUUUUAAAUUGAAGCGAUUCUCAAAUGGUAGGUUGGCCGGUUGUACAGUUUCCCUGGACUCUGAGUCUUUGAGAACGUAUCUUCCCUUUUUCUAAAUAGAAGGGAAACAUGCAUUUCUUAGUUGAUCUGCAAAUGUGCUAAAUAAUGCUCAUAAAAUGAUCAACUGGGCCGCACUGGUGGGCAUCCAAAAGUGAUGCACAGACACGUGUGCUAUUCAGGUACAGUUACACACAUAUACACAAGCACUUUUGAAAGCAGCAAGGUCACGUUGCAUGAGAAAUUAAAUUAUUCUGGUAGGAAAUGCUGCAAGAUAAAGGACUCACUGAAAGGUGCAGGAAAAGGUUAGGAUAUAAUCUUUGAAGACUGAAGGCACCAAAGAGUUCAGUGACUAGGCUGCAGAAAUAACAACCCAGGAUUCUGAAGAAACACGCUGCAGACUUUCAGUGGUCUGUUGAGUCAAGGUGGUACGGUGACAGGAGAAUCAAAAGCCUCAUCACAGGGCAUUGAGACAAGUGUAGGCAGAUGAGUUCAACUUCAGUAGAAGGCUUUGAACUAAGAUGUAGCAGGGCAUGAGGCAAAACUGAGAUCGGCUAAUUGGAAGUAAGUGCCAUGCUAACAUAGCAACUGAUUUCUACGUAACAAAAAGGCAAGAAGUCUAAUCUGGACUUCAAUAAUGCAUUUGAUACGGUGCCAUACGACCCCAUAACCGAGUUAGGAAAAAAUUUGACAUACAAGAUUUACAGAGUUAGAGAAGAGCACGUGCUCUUCAGCCGGUAACAUACCACGCUCCAAGACAGCAGCGGAUCGGGGCAGGGUUACUGCAAGAUUUAAGGCACGUAAGUCAUAAGGGUGUCACGGCGCGCUGCAGAUGGCCGCGCUGGAAGCACGGGCAGAUCAUGUGGAACGCGCCGCGCACACUCAAAGUUCGGGGCGAAGUUUGGCGGCGCGGGAGGCGAGGCCACACGCUCCGCCGGUCGCAGCAAAAGCAGCGGGGAAACCCCGGGCUCGGGGCCGGCUGCAGCACCUCCGGGCCGGCCCGGCGUCCCGCGGAACUCUCGGACAGUCUGCGGGCCGACAGGCUGAGCCGAGCCGGCACCGAGCCCGGCCGCCCGGCGGAGGUGGAACAACAAACUUGCGAACAGAGAAGAAAAGAGUCCCAGAAAAUGGGUUUAAAAUGACCGAAUACCCUUCAUAUAGCAAAUUAUGCACUUCCUCUUCAUGGCAAUGGCAGCAAAAUCAGCACAGUGUUUCCUCUGUCCUGGGACCCUGCACCACGCUUGUCUGAAUGCUCCCACCUCAAACUGGCUGCCCCAGCAUUUUACGGAAGCUAUCCUCAUUCUGACUGCAGUCUCUACAGUUUUUCAUCUUUGCUCACAUCUGCACUUCCUGCUCCCAGCUGCAACAGAGAUCAGAAGUGAUAGAACACCAUGAAAGAAAGGCCAUCCUGGUAGCAUUUCCAGCUUGACUGCAUACAACAAAUACCAGGAAUCUUGGAAGAGAAUGUAUUUGCAGAUGCCCAGCCCCGUGUUCAGAUGGAUAUCUGAACACUUAGGUGCUUAACAACCAGAACUCCUGAUAGUAGCAGUAAGCAAUCUUCUGAGUUUUCUAAAUCGAUAACGUUGUUUUAUAUCAUUAAAGCUGUGAAAAUUUAAUGCCAACAGUAGUUGCGUCACUUGGGUAGGUACCUGCCUUGUGGAUACAUUCAGGCAGUGAGAAGUGAAGCAUUUGUACAGUUGUACUUUAUGGUUUACAGUUCUACAGGUGCAAAGCAAGAAGCCAGUCAGAAACCAAAGGGACAAUAUAGACUUGUUGCAUAGUUUUGUCCUUUCAAGAAACCAUGUAAUAAAUAGGUUGCCCAGAGAGCUGGUGGACACCCCAUCCCUGGAAACACUCAAGUUCAGGCUGGAGGGGCUCUGAGCAUCCUGAUCUAUCAGUAGCUGUCACUGUUCAUUGCAGGGGGGUUGGACCAGAUGGCUUUUAAGGGUCCCUUCCAACUCAAUCAAAUCUAUGAUUCUGUGAUUUUAAAUGUAACCAGAAGUAUAUAUAUUUUUCCUGUGAAUGUCAAAUAAUUUCAAAUAAAAUAAAUUGCUCUAGAUUACUUGCAGUUUCUUCCUGCUUUCUGGUCUGUUUAAGGAUCUUUGAUCUGUGGGUAAAAGAAAUGAAUUGUGUAAAAAAUGUUUCUGGCAUUAAUGGUCUAACUGUAAGUUAAUACAUCUGAUUCUUACUGAACUUGUUCUUUGAAAUUGUACUAGGUCGAGUGAUUACUUAUCUUUAACUCAUCUGAGGUUUUUGCUGUGAUUGAUUGACUUUCCUUUUCUCUCUUUUGUCAUAAUGGAACCAGAUAAGCACUGCUCACAAGAAAGCCUGGGAGGUUGGGACACGGUUUAAUGAUGUGGUGAUGAUGGUUUGAUGGUUGGACUAGUUGAUGUUAGAAGUCUUUUCCAAUCUAAAUGAUUCUAUGAUUCUAUAGUCUAUAUUAUGAAGUUUUCCGCCUCAAAAAUCAACUGUAGCAUCAUCUUAAAGACUUUCCAGAGAUAAAAUCUUCGUCUUUUUUAAGUUCUGGACUUUUCUGACUUGAGUUGUGCAGUGAUGGUUCACACAACUUGAAGAUGUGACCUCAAUAUAACACUUCUCAUCACAUUUGAGGAAAACUAUCAGUAAUAAAACGUAACAUACUCCUACACAGAAAUGCACCCAGCCCUUUGUGACAGUUUUUGAAGUAGGUCUUGAGCAAACUCACUUCAUCUAAAACUUCUCUUUGGCCUUCUCGACUCCAACCACAUUGGAAGGGAAUCUUUGCAUAGAGAUAGAAUCUUUGCAUGAGACUCCAAAUCACAGAAGCACAAGUGAUGACAACAGAAAUAUGAAUGUACUGGCUCUGGCCCUCGUCCAUACCAAGCAGCAGUGUCAGGGACAGGAAAGUGGAGUUGGAGUUGGGUCUGGAAACCUAACAAGGCAGUAUGUAUCACAGGUAGACAUGAGAACUGGAAAAGACUUGCAGAAAGGAAUAUUGUGGCUGGAGAAAAGAGAAGGGAGUAAGAUGACAGAUUAAUAGCUAGUGUUGCAUAAUUGGUGUGUCUUAAAAAGUUUUACUUGUUUGCUUAUUCACUCCAAAGUUAUGUACCAAGAGCAGCAGCAGCAGAGUUGCAGGCCAGAUGGUAGAGGAAGUGUAUCUUUCCAGCCCGCUGAAGCCUGCAGGGCCAUCAUUAACCCAGUGCUCUGGUUUUCAUUGCAAAUCCCUUUCUUCCCUUUUCUUUUCCUUUCUUCAAAGAAAAAGAAGGGAGGGGAAAAGAGGAAGAAAAAAAAAGAAGAAACGAAAAGCCAUGGUUUAAACUGGCAAUAACACCAUCCUUUUGGCUUUGAGCUAUCCCACCCUGUGCCAAAUACAGUCUCCAACAGCUCUCCCACAACAAAUCAGGCCAAAUACACAAAAGCUGUAGAAAAAGAAUGGUGAAGAAAGAUCCUUGAUUCUCUCCCUAGCCCCCCAGCCUUUUCCUUUUGCUUCUCUCCCCAAGCUUCAUUCCCCAGCAGCGACAUCCUCCUGUCUGCCAGUGCUGUAAAUGAUGCUGGAACCUCCAGUCUGCAGCUUUGUUGACAGCUGCCUUAGAGUGCAGGCAUCUGUGCCUUUAUGUAUUGAGGGAGCAAUGUAAAGGAAAAGUUACAUUCCAUUAUUCCUGGCACUUCUGAGAGCCAAUGUUUCAAAAAAUGGCACAAAUUGUUAGCAUAGCAAAUUAAUCACAAGUAGAAAUUGUCUAUUCCAUCAGUUAACCCAUACCACUGCACUGUGUCACAACUUACAGUUAGGCUUUUCCAAGAAGAUACCUGAAAAAAAUAGUGAUAUUAUCUGUUUAUACAGUACAUUAUUUAAAAUUUUUCAAAACUGAUUAGCAAACAUUAAGUAAGUGGUCCAAAUAUUAGGCACCAGUUUCAAAGACCGUAAGAUAAUGAUUUUUAGAAAGUACAAAAAAUGAGUGUUUAGAUGGCACUCAUUAGCAGAAUCAUCUUAAAUUAAUAAUCACUUAUGAAAAGUACGUCUUUGCCUCUGUCCUUGGGGUUGUAGAUUCAUAGACAGACAAUAGGAGAGGCAUUUGCCUAGGGUCAGAACCGAGUGGUGAUAACAUCAAUGGCAUAAACUUAUAGAAGGCUGGAUGCUGCUGUUAUACAUCAAGAAGAAAAUGUGCUGCAUAGUUGUAGGGCAGCAUAGAAGGAGCACUGGAGAACACAAUAAUGUGAACAACUAAUGUUUAGAAAGGACAAGGAACUGCUGGAGAGACAUGGAGAGUACGACAGAAGAAACAUAAGCAGGCAGAGGUGUGCAGAGCUUACAACCUCCUGCUUUAAAGAUGACCUGUUCCUGUUCCUCCACUGCUUUAACAAUCUUAGUAUAAUUUUCUUAUUCAUUACCGCACAUUUGUCUUAUUUCAGAUAUCUAUUUUAAUUUUUUUCUUAUUAAUAAGAACAGUGACUCUUAGCUAGCAACUGUCUCAUUAAAUAAUUUUGUAUUUCUCUGGGGACAAUUACUAUGUCUUAGCUCUAGACUGCACAUACUAAAUUCUUUAAGCUCUGCAUCAUAAUUUUUCCCCCAACCCUGACAUUGUUUUUAAUUUAAUAUUUUUAUUACCAAUUCUUAAUUUAUUUUUAUCAUUCUUUUAAUGUGUACUCAAGGUACACA